CCUGGUUGAUCCUGCCAGUAGCAUAUGCUUGUCUCAAGCAUCAAGCCACGAAUAUGUAAGUACACACGGCUGGUACAGUGAAACUGCAAAUGGCCCAUCAAGUAUGUAAUGGUUUGUUAGUUCACUCUAUAUGUUACUUGGAUAACUGAGGUAAUUGCACAGACAAUACAUGUCAAUGAGCGCUGACCUCCUGGGAUGCAUCAAUCAAUCAGACCAAUCAGGGCUCGCUUGGCUGCUAUUGUGACCCUAGACAACGUGGGGGCGAUUGCAUGUCCCUCAAAUGGUUAUUAUACAUUUGGAUUUCUGCACUAUCAACUUUCCAUUGUAGUGUCUGUCCUUACCAUGGUGACCAAGGUUAACAGGGAAUCAUGGUUUGAUACUAUAUAGGGAGCAAGAGAAACGGCUACCACAUCCAAGGAAGAAAGCAGAUGCAUACAUUAACGACUCCUGACUCAAGGGAUAUAGUGAUGGAAAAUAACAUUACAGGAAUCGUACAAGGCACAGUAAUUAGAAUGAGUGCACUUAAAAUCCAUUAAUAAGGUUCCAUCGGAGGGCAAGUUUGGUGUCAGUAUAUGCCAUAAUUCCAGCUACAGCAGCAUAUCUGAAAGUUGCUGCAGUUAAAAAUGCAUGUAGUUGGAUCUAUGGAUCAAGCUGGUGGCCUGCUGCAAAGUGAGCAACUGUUUGUCUCAGCCCCUGCCUCUCAGCACCCUCUUGAUGAACGUGCCUGAGUGUCCUGGGGUCCAAAGCAUUUCUUGACUAAAUCAGAGUGUUAGAGCAGGCCGGUCACCUGAAUUCCUCAGCCAGGAUUAAUUGAAUAUGAAUCCUAUUGUGUUGAUUGGUAGAAGUGUGGUCAUGAUGAAGAGGGACAGCUGGGGGCCUUUGUAAUGUGCCACUAGAGUUGCAACUCUUGGAAAGGAGCAAGACGAUCCAAAGUGAAUGCAUUUGCCAAUAAUGUCUUCAUCAAUCCAGAAUUAAAGUCUGUUGCUUGACGAUGAUCAGAUACCAUCAUAGGUCCGACAAUAAAUGGUACUGACUAGUUAUCUGGUGUGUCGUUAUUCUCAUUACCCUACAAGUGGCUUGCAGGAAAGCAUAGUCUCGGGGAUCGGGGUGAGUAUGGCUGCAAAGCAGAAACAUAAAGGAAUUGACAGAAGGUCACUAUCAGGAGUGGAACCAGCGGCUUGAAUUGACUCAACAUGGGAAACCUCAACUGGUUUGGGCAUGGAAAGGAUUGUCAGAUUGAUGGCUCUGUUUCCAUUCUGUGGGUGUAGUUGCAUACCCAGUCUUAGUUAAGUGGCGUGAUUUGUGUGGUCAAUUCUGAUAAUGAACGAGACUCCUCCAUGCCAACUAGUCAUGCGACCCCCAGUGGUUGGAGUUCAACUUCAGAGAGGGACAAGUGGUGUUCAGCCACACGAGAUCAAGCAAGAACAGGUCUGUGAUACACUUAGAUAUCUGUGAAUGCAAGUGUGCCACACUGAACGGAUCACUGUUUGUCUACCCUAUGCCAACCCAUGCAGGUAACCUGCUGAACCCUGUGUUUGAUAGAGAUUGGGAUAGCAAUCUAUUUGCAUGAAUGAGGAAAUCCCAGCAAGUGCAGGUCAUAAUCUUGCAUUGAUGAAGUUCAUGCACUUUGCACCUGCUAACUAUUUUCACUACUGAUUGGAUGAAUCAGUGAGGUCCUAGGAUUGGCCACCACAGUGGUGGUCCCUGGUGGUACACAGAGAAGAAGAUGUCUAUCUAGAGGGAGUGUAAGUCGUAACAAAGUUCUUGUAGGUGAAGCUGCAGAAG
This 1785-nucleotide ribosomal RNA is filed under the name Ambystoma mexicanum (axolotl). RNAcentral's name for it is "SSU rRNA". It matches the Rfam family "Eukaryotic small subunit ribosomal RNA". The record is from RNAcentral. Lineage: Eukaryota; Metazoa; Chordata; Amphibia; Caudata; Ambystomatidae.